Molecule: long non-coding RNA, 1553 nt
Filed under: Actinidia chinensis (golden kiwifruit)
Lineage: Eukaryota; Viridiplantae; Streptophyta; Magnoliopsida; Ericales; Actinidiaceae
Description: long non-coding RNA (ACHI_LNC007260)
Source: RNAcentral
AUUCAGUCAAUUUGAUGGAUUACAAAUCUAUUGGAUUAUAUAUUCAACCUCAAAGAGAGUCAACAUAUACCAUAGUAGUGACCUCACAGAAUUUAUAAUUCAAUCCAACAUUUUUUUCACUAAAACAAAUAUGCCCUUAACACCAAAACCAUCAUAAGCUCACACACACAUACCUAUAAUAUGUGUAUAUUUUUAUACAAGGAAAGCAAAAACCUCAAGUGUAAAGUGGCAUAUUUGCCCUUUUGGCAUACAUUAAUGUCUUGAUAAUUCUGUCCCUAUCUCUCUACACCACUUCCCUUUGCCAUCUCUCUCUGGAUUCUAGUCACCUUCAAACUUCUUAAAUCUGCCUUUCUCUCUUUACAAAACUCAGACGAAUCACUACAUCUUUUUCUUGUUUCCCGCGUUCUCCGUCUAUUUAAAUUUUCUUCGUCAAGAAAUUCUGGCGAAAGAGACCAGCGAGUGAGCUCACAAACCUCAUGGUGGCUUCAAGAUAUCUGUCGUCCAUGUACACAGAGGAUGAUCAAAUCCAGAACAGGGAUCACAAUCACACCAUCUAGUAAUUCUUUAGGAUACGAAUAGGGGUUGUUCACGGUUGGAUUUGUUUGAUUUUGAGUAAUUCCACAAACUAAAUCGAAUUCUACAGCUCUUGAAAUUUUAAAAUCAAAUCAAUCCGUCCAAAACUUAGUACUAUUUAAUCCGAACCUAAAAAUAUCGGUUUGAUACCGGUUUCAAAUCACGAUUUUGGUAGGUAAAUUUUUUACUAUACAAUAAUCACAUUGCUUAAUAUAAUUCAUUGACUCCAUAUUCAAAACCUAGCAACCAAAUAAUAGAAUCUAUGGCAUAAACAUAUAAUUUAAUUUUCUCUAAAAUAGAAUAUUUAAUAUAGUUAGACAAUUAUCAAGACUAUAUAAAGCAACAAUAUAAUUUAAGAUGAAAAAUAUAAGUAUAAAAUUAUAAGAAAAAUAUUUUAUCCGAUCCGGUUCGGUUUAGAAUCGGAAUCGUCACUAAUCUGUAAAUUGAACCGAUCAAAACAAUUUUUAGAAUUUUAAAAUCGGAAUCGAACCGGCUAUAUAAAAAACUGUUCCAAACCGAACGAUUCGGACUGAUUACCGGUUUGUUCUUUUGGUCAAACUUAGAUACAAACCCAUGAGAGCAGUGAGAGGGAACAACGCCUCUUUUUUCUUCGAUAUUUGAAUUUGAUUCCUCGAGAUCAAUUCUUUUUCGUAGUUGAGAGCAUUGAGAUCUGGUCGUUAACUCCCCUUCACAACUCGGAGCCUGAUCUCUCUCUUCUCAAAUUAAUUAUAAAAUUACCUCUGUAUAGCAAUGCAACUCUCAACAAGGUUUCUGAGAUUAAAACAAUUACAGAGAGGGAGAAGAUUAAAGGAUGCUAAGGGUUUGUGUGAUAUGGGUUUCUCGAGGGAGGGAUCUAGAUUGAAGAGGGGGAGAAGCGAGGGAGACGAUGGGUGCGAGGGACAAUUAUUUCAAAUGUCAGGCAAGGGGAAUAUGUGGAAUAAAAACAUACGAUUGUUAACUGUGCGUGUACGCAACAUUCU